This 495-nucleotide ribosomal RNA is filed under the name uncultured bacterium. RNAcentral describes it as "partial 16S ribosomal RNA". It matches the Rfam family "Bacterial small subunit ribosomal RNA", at positions 30 to 523 of the family's 1533-position model. The record is from RNAcentral.
AUUGAACGCUGGCGGCAGGCCUAACACAUGCAAGUAGAGCGCGAAAGUCUUCGGAUGAGUAGAGCGGCGGACGGGUGCGUAACGCGUAGGAAUCUACCUAGUAGUGGGGGACAACUCGGGGAAACUCGAGCUAAUACCGCAUACGCCCUAAGGGGGAAAGUGGGGGAACGUAAGGCCUCACGCCAUUAGAUGAGCCUGCGUAGGAUUAGCUAGUUGGUAGGGUAAAGGCCUACCAAGGCGACGAUCCUUAGCUGGUCGGAGAGGAUGAUCCGCAACACUGGAACUGGGACCCGGUCCAGACUCCUACGGGAGGCAGCAGUGGGGAAUCUUGCACAAUGGGCGAAAGCCUGAUGCGGCCAUGCCGCGCGUGUGAAGAAGGCCUUCGGGUUGUAAAGCACUUUAAGUGGGGAGAAAAGGGUAGUGAUUAACACUGGCUAUCUGUGAUGUUACCCACAGAAUAAGCACCGGCAAACUUCGUGCCAGCAGCCGCCGUAA